RNAcentral lists this ribosomal RNA (207 nucleotides) under uncultured bacterium. Its description in RNAcentral is "partial 16S ribosomal RNA". It matches the Rfam family "Bacterial small subunit ribosomal RNA", at positions 568 to 774 of the family's 1533-position model. The record is from RNAcentral.
UGCGUAGGCCGUCCGGGAAGUUGGGUGUGAAAUACCUCGGCUCAACCGAGGAACUGCGCUCAAAACUGCCGGGCUCGAGGGAGACAUAGGUGCGCGGAACCUAGGGUGGAGCGGUGAAAUGCGUUGAGAUCCUAGGGAACACCAGUAGCGAAAGCGGCGCACUGGGUCUUUUCUGACGCUGAUGCACGAAAGCUAGGGGAGCGAAGA